RNAcentral lists this non-coding RNA (29 nucleotides) under Homo sapiens (human). The record is from RNAcentral. Lineage: Eukaryota; Metazoa; Chordata; Mammalia; Primates; Hominidae.
UGCUGUGAUUGUGGUAAAGCCUUCAGUAA